Molecule: long non-coding RNA, 350 nt
Filed under: Malus domestica (apple)
Lineage: Eukaryota; Viridiplantae; Streptophyta; Magnoliopsida; Rosales; Rosaceae
Description: long non-coding RNA (MDOM_LNC019297)
Source: RNAcentral
UUACAAGAUAUGCACUCAAUUUUCACUCAGAUUUUCUAACUACACACCCUAUACUAGUUAUAUGUAAGAAGAUUGAUGUAGCUAUGAAAACUAACGCUCACAUAUAUGUAUCACAAAGAAAGCAAUUUCUGGAGUUAAUAAGCAUGUUUAGAUAUGAUCUCAUGAAUGGAAUGCUACUACUUAGAUGCGAGAACCAGUGACACCAUAUGCUUAUAUCAAUUUCAAACUCCACAUAUUGAAACGCAUGACACUCAAGAUGAAGUUAAGGGUUGUAACGAGGCUUGGGGUGAUGGCUAACAAAUGAAGGAUAAGGAUAACAAUCGUUCUUAAAGCAAUAGCAAGUAAAGUAA